AGUAUUAACGGCGGGGCUGUAGGGAAGGGAGAGCAGAGGCGCGGCGAGGUGGUUGACUGCCCAGCCGCUCGCCCAAAGCGCUGGGUGCCAGGAGAAGGAGGGCAGGAAAGGAGGGGGGGACGGGGGGGACGGGGGGAAGAAGCAAGAGAGCCACCGACCACGCCUGUUUUGCAGCCCACGGACCUUCCCGUGCGCCUCCCACACAGCCCACGGCGGCUGCUGGGGGGAUUCGAUGCUUUGGUGCCCCUCUUGGUGUCAUUCGCCCACCUCCCCUCAGAACCCCCCUCCAUCGUCCCUCUCCCCUCCUCCCCCCCCCCAACCCUCAACUCUCUGAUCCUCUUCGGCGGACCUCGAUCCGCACCUUUUUCCUUCCCAGCUCUGCGGGGGGGAGGGGAGGAGGUGCCGACGAAGGCAGCCGUCCCCCAUCCUGCAGCAACCUUCCUUUGCAGAAGGCACCUCUCCCUUCCCUUCCCUCCCCCCCGCCCCACAAUCCGGAGCCAGGCACAACGACACUGGAGGGAGCCCAGCCCGUCCGUCCGUCGCAGAAUAAGGCGUCCGUCCCUCGUCGCCGGGGCCCAUAGCCUGCCAGUCCGCGCCAUCCCCACGCCAGGCACCAACGCAGACCUCACCUCUGGCCCGGCACCACCAGACCGCGAUCGCCGCCGCCGAGCCCCAGGAAGCAGGCACUUCUCCCUCUCUCCUCCCUCCCUCGCCACUUUCUGGAGUCCCCCCCCCCGCACCAAUCCCGGCUCAAUUAACCCUCUUUCUCCCUGCCUGCCCGCCACAUCCCCGCUGGCCUGCUGGGCGCCCCGAGAAGGAAAUCGCAGCCCUUACCUCGCCUCGCCGGGCUCCGUGGGGAUGGAGAUGGGGCGGGGGUGGAUGGGCGGCGCGCUUGGCUCUCGGUCGCCCUCGGAUGCAAUGCGGCGGUGCGCUCCCUUUCUCAGCAGUGACGGGGAGGCGUCGAGGAGGAGGCAGGGGGAGGCGGCGGGGGCCGCGGGGGGGCGCAGGGGGGGGCGGCGGUGCUGCUGCUGGUGA
Molecule: long non-coding RNA, 1035 nt
Filed under: Salvator merianae (Argentine black and white tegu)
Lineage: Eukaryota; Metazoa; Chordata; Lepidosauria; Squamata; Teiidae
Description: lncRNA (ENSSMRG00000014806.1)
Source: RNAcentral